RNAcentral lists this ribosomal RNA (492 nucleotides) under uncultured bacterium. RNAcentral describes it as "partial 16S ribosomal RNA". It matches the Rfam family "Bacterial small subunit ribosomal RNA", at positions 29 to 507 of the family's 1533-position model. The record is from RNAcentral.
AGUGAACGCUGGCGGUAGGCCUAACACAUGCAAGUCGAACGGCAGCACAGUAAGAGCUUGCUCUUACGGGUGGCGAGUGGCGGACGGGUGAGGAAUACAUCGGAAUCUACUUUUUCGUGGGGGAUAACGUAGGGAAACUUACGCUAAUACCGCAUACGACCUACGGGUGAAAGCAGGGGAUCUUCGGACCUUGCGCGAUUGAAUGAGCCGAUGUCGGAUUAGCUAGUUGGCGGGGUAAAGGCCCACCAAGGCGACGAUCCGUAGCUAGUCUGAGAGGAUGAUCAGCCACACUGGAACUGAGACACGGUCCAGACUCCUACGGGGGGCAGCAGUGGGGAAUAUUGGACAAUGGGCGCAAGCCUGAUCCAGCCAUACCGCGUGGGUGAAGAAGGCCUUCGGGUUGUAAAGCCCUUUUGUUGGGAAAGAAAAGCAGCAGGUUAAUACCCCGCUGUUCUGACGGUACCCAAAGAAUAAGCACCGGCUAACUUCGUG